RNAcentral lists this ribosomal RNA (497 nucleotides) under uncultured bacterium. Its description in RNAcentral is "partial 16S ribosomal RNA". It matches the Rfam family "Bacterial small subunit ribosomal RNA", at positions 28 to 507 of the family's 1533-position model. The record is from RNAcentral.
GAUGAACGCUGGCGGCGUGCCUAAUACAUGCAAGUCGAGCGAACGGACGAGAAGCUUGCUUCUCUGAUGUUAGCGGCGGGCGGGUGAGCAACACGUGGAUAACCUACCUAUAAGACUGGGAUAACUUCGGGAAACCGUAGCUAAUACCGGAUAAUAUUUUGAACCGCAUGGUUCAAAAGUGAAAGACGGUCUUGCUGUCACUUAUAGAUGGAUCCGCGCUGCAUUAGCUAGUUGGUAAGGUAACGGCUUACCAAGGCAACGAUGCAUAGCCGACCUGAGAGGGUGAUCGGCCACACUGGAACUGAGACACGGUCCAGACUCCUACGGGAGGCAGCAGUAGGGAAUCUUCCGCAAUGGGCGAAAGCCUGACGGAGCAACGCCGCGUGAGUGAUGAAGGUCUUCGGAUCGUAAAACUCUGUUAUUAGGGAAGAACAUAUGUGUAAGUAACUGUGCACAUCUUGACGGUACCUAAUCAGAAAGCCACGGCUAACUACGUG